UACGGGGGGGGUAAGCGUUGUUCGGAAUUACUGGGCGUAAAGGGCUCGUAGGCGGCCAACUAAGUCAUACGUGAAAUCCCUCAGCUUAACUGGGGAACUGCGCGUGAUACUGGAUGGCUUGGAUUUGGGAGAGGGAUGCGGAAUUCCAGGUGUAGCGGUGAAAUGCGUAGAUAUCUGGAGGAACACCGGUGGCGAAGGCGGCAUCCUGGACCAAUAUUGACGCUGAGGAGCGAAAGCCAGGGGAGCAAACGGG
RNAcentral lists this ribosomal RNA (253 nucleotides) under uncultured bacterium. RNAcentral's name for it is "partial 16S ribosomal RNA". It matches the Rfam family "Bacterial small subunit ribosomal RNA", at positions 524 to 776 of the family's 1533-position model. The record is from RNAcentral.